AAAAUAAAUCUCAAAUCAAUUAAAAAAUUGAUGAGAAUAUUUUUCAUAGAUCCAUCAUCAUUCAAAUAGGUUAGGAAAAUACUUUUGUAUUUAUUGAAUAACAGAAUCUAUUUAAAAUGAAUUAAAAAUAACCAGAAAAGAGAAAAUCCACAAAAAAUAUCAAAUGACAAAAUAAAAAAUAUUAAAAUUCAUAUUUAGAAACUAGAAUUUAUUUGGAGAAGAAUGCAAUUGGUCCCAUAUUUUUUGGAUUUAA
This 253-nucleotide long non-coding RNA is filed under the name Lathyrus oleraceus (garden pea). RNAcentral describes it as "Pisum sativum (pea) long non-coding RNA (PSAT_LNC029937)". Lineage: Eukaryota; Viridiplantae; Streptophyta; Magnoliopsida; Fabales; Fabaceae. The record is from RNAcentral.